CAAAUUAAAUCUAUAUAUUAGAGUUUCAUUUACAUUGAAGAUAUUUUUGUUUAUUCAAAUUAAUUUGA
RNAcentral lists this transfer RNA (68 nucleotides) under Polycentropus flavomaculatus. RNAcentral describes it as "tRNA-Val". Lineage: Eukaryota; Metazoa; Arthropoda; Insecta; Trichoptera; Polycentropodidae. The record is from RNAcentral.